RNAcentral lists this transfer RNA (61 nucleotides) under Habronattus oregonensis. RNAcentral's name for it is "tRNA-Asn". Lineage: Eukaryota; Metazoa; Arthropoda; Arachnida; Araneae; Salticidae. The record is from RNAcentral.
UAGAUAAGGAGCUGAUAGCGUUUUCAUUGUUAAUGAAAUGAAGUAGAGGGGCUGUAACUAG